This 178-nucleotide non-coding RNA is filed under the name Candidatus Blautia intestinigallinarum. RNAcentral's name for it is "6S RNA". It matches the Rfam family "6S / SsrS RNA". From Rfam's summary of the family: E. coli 6S RNA was the first non coding RNA to be sequenced, but its function was unknown until recently. It consists of 184 nucleotides that fold into an extended hairpin structure with a large single-stranded internal bulge. The 6S RNA specifically associates with RNA polymerase holoenzyme containing the sigma70 specificity factor. The record is from RNAcentral. Lineage: Bacteria; Bacillati; Bacillota; Clostridia; Lachnospirales; Lachnospiraceae.
GUUUUCCUGGAAUGUGCGACAAUCCUAUUGUUUUUGAACCUACAUCUUCUUAAAGGGAUUCCAACAUCGCAAGUAGGAUGUCAGACCUCUCGUUGUGGUAGGCAGAAUACUUGUUGAGGAAACCCACCUAGCAAUCCGCUAGGCGUCAAAAAAAUAGGACCGGCAUUUUGGGGCCACA